CGGAGGAUGCGAGCGUUAUCCGGAUUUAUUGGGUUUAAAGGGUGCGCAGGCGGCGCGCCAAGUCAGCGGUCAAAGUUCCGGGCUCAACCCGGUGUCGCCGUUGAAACUGGCGUGCUCGAGUGCGUGCGAGGAAGGCGGAAUGCGCUGUGUAGCGGUGAAAUGCAUAGAUAUGACGCAGAACUCCGAUUGCGAAGGCAGCUUUCCAGCGCGCUACUGACGCUGAGGCACGAAAGCGUGGGAUCGAACAGGAUU
Molecule: ribosomal RNA, 252 nt
Filed under: uncultured bacterium
Lineage: Bacteria
Description: partial 16S ribosomal RNA
Rfam family: Bacterial small subunit ribosomal RNA
Source: RNAcentral